RNAcentral lists this ribosomal RNA (451 nucleotides) under uncultured bacterium. Its description in RNAcentral is "partial 16S ribosomal RNA". It matches the Rfam family "Bacterial small subunit ribosomal RNA", at positions 29 to 523 of the family's 1533-position model. The record is from RNAcentral.
AACGAACGCUGGCGGCAGGCUUAACACAUGCAAGUCGAGCGGGCGCUUUCGGGCGUCAGCGGCGGACGGGUUAGUAACGCGUGGGAACGUGCCCUUUGCUCUGGAAUAGCCCUGGGAAACUGGGGGUAAUACCGGAUGUGCCCUGAGGGGGAAAGAUUUAUCGGCAAGGGAUCGGCCCGCGUCUGAUUAGGUAGUUGGUGUGGUAACAGCGCACCAAGCCGACGAUCGGUAGCUGGUUUGAGAGGAUGAUCAGCAACACUGGGACUGAGACACGGCCCAGACUCCUACGGGAGGCAGCAGUGGGGAAUCUUAGACAAUGGGCGCAAGCCUGAUCUAGCCAUGCCGCGUGGGUGAUGAAGGCCUUAGAAUCGUAAAACCCUUUCGCCGAAGAAGAUAAUGACGGUACCCGGUAAAGAAACCCCGGCUAACUCCGUGCCAGCCGCCGCGGUAA